This 2905-nucleotide ribosomal RNA is filed under the name Escherichia marmotae. Its description in RNAcentral is "23S ribosomal RNA". It matches the Rfam family "Bacterial large subunit ribosomal RNA". The record is from RNAcentral. Lineage: Bacteria; Pseudomonadati; Pseudomonadota; Gammaproteobacteria; Enterobacterales; Enterobacteriaceae.
GGUUAAGCGACUAAGCGUACACGGUGGAUGCCCUGGCAGUCAGAGGCGAUGAAGGACGUGCUAAUCUGCGAUAAGCGUCGGUAAGGUGAUAUGAACCGUUAUAACCGGCGAUUUCCGAAUGGGGAAACCCAGUGUGAUUCGUCACACUAUCAUUAACUGAAUCCAUAGGUUAAUGAGGCGAACCGGGGGAACUGAAACAUCUAAGUACCCCGAGGAAAAGAAAUCAACCGAGAUUCCCCCAGUAGCGGCGAGCGAACGGGGAGGAGCCCAGAGCCUGAAUCAGUAUGUGUGUUAGUGGAAGCGUCUGGAAAGGCGUGCGAUACAGGGUGACAGCCCCGUACACAAAAAUGCACAUGCUGUGAGCUCGAUGAGUAGGGCGGGACACGUGGUAUCCUGUCUGAAUAUGGGGGGACCAUCCUCCAAGGCUAAAUACUCCUGACUGACCGAUAGUGAACCAGUACCGUGAGGGAAAGGCGAAAAGAACCCCGGCGAGGGGAGUGAAAAAGAACCUGAAACCGUGUACGUACAAGCAGUGGGAGCCUCUUUAAUGGGGUGACUGCGUACCUUUUGUAUAAUGGGUCAGCGACUUAUAUUCUGUAGCAAGGUUAACCGAAUAGGGGAGCCGAAGGGAAACCGAGUCUUAACUGGGCGUUAAGUUGCAGGGUAUAGACCCGAAACCCGGUGAUCUAGCCAUGGGCAGGUUGAAGGUUGGGUAACACUAACUGGAGGACCGAACCGACUAAUGUUGAAAAAUUAGCGGAUGACUUGUGGCUGGGGGUGAAAGGCCAAUCAAACCGGGAGAUAGCUGGUUCUCCCCGAAAGCUAUUUAGGUAGCGCCUCGUGAAUUCAUCUCCGGGGGUAGAGCACUGUUUCGGCAAGGGGGUCAUCCCGACUUACCAACCCGAUGCAAACUGCGAAUACCGGAGAAUGUUAUCACGGGAGACACACGGCGGGUGCUAACGUCCGUCGUGAAGAGGGAAACAACCCAGACCGCCAGCUAAGGUCCCAAAGUCAUGGUUAAGUGGGAAACGAUGUGGGAAGGCCCAGACAGCCAGGAUGUUGGCUUAGAAGCAGCCAUCAUUUAAAGAAAGCGUAAUAGCUCACUGGUCGAGUCGGCCUGCGCGGAAGAUGUAACGGGGCUAAACCAUGCACCGAAGCUGCGGCAGCGACACUGUGUGUUGUUGGGUAGGGGAGCGUUCUGUAAGCCGUUGAAGGUGGCCUGUGAGGGUUGCUGGAGGUAUCAGAAGUGCGAAUGCUGACAUAAGUAACGAUAAAGCGGGUGAAAAGCCCGCUCGCCGGAAGACCAAGGGUUCCUGUCCAACGUUAAUCGGGGCAGGGUGAGUCGACCCCUAAGGCGAGGCCGAAAGGCGUAGUCGAUGGGAAACAGGUUAAUAUUCCUGUACUUGGUGUUACUGCGAAGGGGGGACGGAGAAGGCUAUGUUGGCCGGGCGACGGUUGUCCCGGUUUAAGCGUGUAGGCUGAUUUUCCAGGCAAAUCCGGAGAAUCAAGGCUGAGGCGUGAUGACGAGGCACUACGGUGCUGAAGCAACAAAUGCCCUGCUUCCAGGAAAAGCCUCUAAGCAUCAGGUAACAUCAAAUCGUACCCCAAACCGACACAGGUGGUCAGGUAGAGAAUACCAAGGCGCUUGAGAGAACUCGGGUGAAGGAACUAGGCAAAAUGGUGCCGUAACUUCGGGAGAAGGCACGCUGAUAUGUAGGUGAAGCGACUUGCUCGUGGAGCUGAAAUCAGUCGAAGAUACCAGCUGGCUGCAACUGUUUAUUAAAAACACAGCACUGUGCAAACACGAAAGUGGACGUAUACGGUGUGACGCCUGCCCGGUGCCGGAAGGUUAAUUGAUGGGGUCAGCCGCAAGGCGAAGCUCUUGAUCGAAGCCCCGGUAAACGGCGGCCGUAACUAUAACGGUCCUAAGGUAGCGAAAUUCCUUGUCGGGUAAGUUCCGACCUGCACGAAUGGCGUAAUGAUGGCCAGGCUGUCUCCACCCGAGACUCAGUGAAAUUGAACUCGCUGUGAAGAUGCAGUGUACCCGCGGCAAGACGGAAAGACCCCGUGAACCUUUACUAUAGCUUGACACUGAACAUUGAGCCUUGAUGUGUAGGAUAGGUGGGAGGCUUUGAAGUGUGGACGCCAGUCUGCAUGGAGCCGACCUUGAAAUACCACCCUUUAAUGUUUGAUGUUCUAACGUGGACCCGUGAUCCGGGUUGCGGACAGUGUCUGGUGGGUAGUUUGACUGGGGCGGUCUCCUCCUAAAGAGUAACGGAGGAGCACGAAGGUUGGCUAAUCCUGGUCGGACAUCAGGAGGUUAGUGCAAUGGCAUAAGCCAGCUUGACUGCGAGCGUGACGGCGCGAGCAGGUGCGAAAGCAGGUCAUAGUGAUCCGGUGGUUCUGAAUGGAAGGGCCAUCGCUCAACGGAUAAAAGGUACUCCGGGGAUAACAGGCUGAUACCGCCCAAGAGUUCAUAUCGACGGCGGUGUUUGGCACCUCGAUGUCGGCUCAUCACAUCCUGGGGCUGAAGUAGGUCCCAAGGGUAUGGCUGUUCGCCAUUUAAAGUGGUACGCGAGCUGGGUUUAGAACGUCGUGAGACAGUUCGGUCCCUAUCUGCCGUGGGCGCUGGAGAACUGAGGGGGGCUGCUCCUAGUACGAGAGGACCGGAGUGGACGCAUCACUGGUGUUCGGGUUGUCAUGCCAAUGGCACUGCCCGGUAGCUAAAUGCGGAAGAGAUAAGUGCUGAAAGCAUCUAAGCACGAAACUUGCCCCGAGAUGAGUUCUCCCUGAGACUUUAAGUCUCCUGAAGGAACGUUGAAGACGACGACGUUGAUAGGCCGGGUGUGUAAGCGCAGCGAUGCGUUGAGCUAACCGGUACUAAUGAACCGUGAGGCUUAACCUU